Molecule: ribosomal RNA, 171 nt
Filed under: uncultured Limnobacter sp.
Lineage: Bacteria; Pseudomonadati; Pseudomonadota; Betaproteobacteria; Burkholderiales; Burkholderiaceae
Description: partial 16S ribosomal RNA
Rfam family: Bacterial small subunit ribosomal RNA
Source: RNAcentral
CUUCACACGUAAUACAAUGGUCGGUACAGAGGGUUGCCAACCGCGAGGGGGAGCCAAUCCCAGAAAACCGAUCGUAGUCCGGAUUGCAGUCUGCAACUCGACUGCAUGAAGUCGGAAUCGCUAGUAAUCGCGGAUCAGCAUGUCGCGGUGAAUUACCGGUUCCCGGGCCUU